CAUGAUGGACUAUAGGACAGGACUGCUGCUGCUCACUGUCUGCUGGGCAGGUGUUGAUGGUCAGACUCUGACAGAAUCUGAACCAGUGACUAAAAGGCCUGGAGAAUCUCACAGAUUGACCUGUACAGGCUCUGGAUUCACAUUCAGUAGCCACUGGAUGGCCUGGGUCAGACAGGCUCCUGGGAAAGGACUGGAGUGGAUCGCUUUUUUCGACACUGGUAGCACCCCGUACUACUCUGAGUCAUUUAAAGGCCGGUUCACCAUCUCCAGAGACAACAACAGACAGCAGGUGUAUCUGCAGAUGAACAGUCUGAAGGCCGAGGACACAGCAGUGUAUUACUGUGCCCGAGACACACAGUGA
Trematomus bernacchii (emerald rockcod) is the source of this 361-nucleotide non-coding RNA. Lineage: Eukaryota; Metazoa; Chordata; Actinopteri; Perciformes; Nototheniidae. The record is from the annotation of a RefSeq genome assembly.